UGGGGAAUUUUGGACAAUGGGCGAAAGCCUGAUCCAGCAAUGCCGCGUGUGUGAAGAAGGCCUUCGGGUUGUAAAGCACUUUUGUCCCGGAAAGAAAUCCUUGGCUCUAAUACAGUCGGGGGAUGACGGUACCGGAAGAAUAAGCACCGGCUAACUACGUGCCAGCAGCCGCGGUAAUACGUAGGGUGCAAGCGUUAAUCGGAAUUACUGGGCGUAAAGCGUGCGCAGGCGGUUUGCUAAGACCGAUGUGAAAUCCCCGGGCUCAACCUUGGGAACUGCAUUGGUGACUGGGCAGGCUAGAGUAUGGGCAGGAGGGGGGUAGAAUUCCCACGUGUAGCAGUGAAAUGCGUAGAGAUGUGGAGGAAUACCGAUGGCGAAAGGCAGCCCCCUGGGCCAAUACUGACGCUC
RNAcentral lists this ribosomal RNA (408 nucleotides) under uncultured bacterium. RNAcentral's name for it is "partial 16S ribosomal RNA". It matches the Rfam family "Bacterial small subunit ribosomal RNA", at positions 355 to 748 of the family's 1533-position model. The record is from RNAcentral.